GACAGAGGUGCCAAGCGUUAGGCGGAAUCACUGGGCUUAAAGCGUGUGUAGGCGGAAUUGUAAGUACCUUGUGAAAUCCCUCGGCUUAACCGAGGAACUGCGUCCGAUACUGAAAGGCUUGAAUCCGGGAGAGGGAUGUGGAAUUCCAGGUGUAGCGGUGAAAUGCGUAGAUAUCUGGAGGAACACCGGUGGCGAAGGCGGCAUCCUGGACCGGUAUUGACGCUGAGGCGCGAAAGCUAGGGGAGCAAACGGG
This 253-nucleotide ribosomal RNA is filed under the name uncultured bacterium. Its description in RNAcentral is "partial 16S ribosomal RNA". It matches the Rfam family "Bacterial small subunit ribosomal RNA", at positions 524 to 776 of the family's 1533-position model. The record is from RNAcentral.